UACGAAGGGGGCUAGCGUUGCUCGGAAUCACUGGGCGUAAAGCGCACGUAGGCGGCUUGUUAAGUCAGGGGUGAAAUCCUGGAGCUCAACUCCAGAACUGCCUUUGAUACUGGCGGUCUCGAGUCCGGGAGAGGUGAGUGGAACUGCGAGUGUAGAGGUGAAAUUCGUAGAUAUUCGCAAGAACACCAGUGGCGAAGGCGGCUCACUGGCCCGGUACUGACGCUGAGGUGCGAAAGCGUGGGGAGCAAACAGG
This 253-nucleotide ribosomal RNA is filed under the name uncultured bacterium. Its description in RNAcentral is "partial 16S ribosomal RNA". It matches the Rfam family "Bacterial small subunit ribosomal RNA", at positions 524 to 776 of the family's 1533-position model. The record is from RNAcentral.